CCUACGGGUGGCUGCAGUGAGGAAUAUUGGUCAAUGGCCGAGAGGCUGAACCAGCCAAGUCGCGUGAGGGAAGACGGCCCUACGGGUUGUAAACCUCUUUUGUCGGGGAGCAAAGCGAACCACGUGUGGUUCAUUGAGAGUACCCGAAGAAAAAGCAUCGGCUAACUCCGUGCCAGCAGCCCCGGUAAUACGGAGGAUGCGAGGGUUAUCCGGAUUUAUUGGGUUAAAGGGGUGCGCAGGGGGAGGUGCAAGUCAGCGCUCAAAUUGCGGGGCUCAACCCCGUACUGCCGUUGAAACUGCAUCCCUUGAGUGCGCGAGAAGUAUGCGGAAUGCGUGGUGUAGCGGUGAAAUGCAUAGAUAUCACGCAGAACUCCGAUUGCGAAGGCAGCAUACCGGCGCGCAACUGACGCUCAUGCACGAAAGCGUGGGUAUCGAACAGGAUUAGAUACCCGGGUAGUC
RNAcentral lists this ribosomal RNA (459 nucleotides) under uncultured bacterium. RNAcentral describes it as "partial 16S ribosomal RNA". It matches the Rfam family "Bacterial small subunit ribosomal RNA", at positions 338 to 795 of the family's 1533-position model. The record is from RNAcentral.